CAUUACUCUCUGACAGGCUGUGUCAACGGCCAUGAUUCUGCUCCGCUCCCUGCGGCAGGUGCUGCACGAUCCCACUACUCGCUGACAACUAGCGGCAACGGACGCCGCUCCACUACCUGCAACAGGCCCUACGUGGCGGGCUAUGACGAUAGCCACGGGUCUACCCCACUAUCUUUCGCAAUCAAUUCCCCUGACCAUGGGCGGCCCACUACCAGACGGUUACAAACGUCACCAUCAAUCCGUUGCCUCCUCCGCCUACAAAAGGGGGACC
This 271-nucleotide long non-coding RNA is filed under the name Elaeis guineensis (African oil palm). Its description in RNAcentral is "long non-coding RNA (EGUI_LNC067230)". Lineage: Eukaryota; Viridiplantae; Streptophyta; Magnoliopsida; Arecales; Arecaceae. The record is from RNAcentral.